GGACAGAUGGCCGAGCGGUCUAUGGCGCUACGUUCAGGUUUCACUUUGUGAAUGUACUAUUCGUAGUCUCGAAAGGGGCGUGGGUUCGAAUCCCACUCUGUUCA
Non-coding RNA from Coniochaeta pulveracea, 104 nucleotides. The record is from the annotation of a GenBank genome assembly. NCBI's taxonomy places the organism in Eukaryota, Fungi, Ascomycota, Sordariomycetes, Coniochaetales, Coniochaetaceae.